GACGAACGCUGGCGGCGUGCCUAAUACAUGCAAGUAGAACGCUGAAGGAGGAGCUUGCUUCUCCGGAUGAGUUGCGAACGGGUGAGUAACGCGUAGGUAACCUGCCUGGUAGCGGGGGAUAACUAUUGGAAACGAUAGCUAAUACCGCAUAACAGUAGAUAUUGCAUGAUAUCUGCUUGAAAGGUGCAAUUGCAUCACUACCAGAUGGACCUGCGUUGUAUUAGCUAGUUGGUGGGGUAACGGCUCACCAAGGCGACGAUACAUAGCCGACCUGAGAGGGUGAUCGGCCACACUGGGACUGAGACACGGCCCAGACUCCUACGGGAGGCAGCAGUAGGGAAUCUUCGGCAAUGGACGGAAGUCUGACCGAGCAACGCCGCGUGAGUGAAGAAGGUUUUCGGAUCGUAAAGCUCUGUUGUAAGAGAAGAACGAGUGUGAGAGUGGAAAGUUCACACUGUGACGGUAUCUUACCAGAAAGGGACGGCUAACUACGUGCCAGCAGCCGCGGUAAUACGUAGGUCCCGAGCGUUGUCCGGAUUUAUUGGGCGUAAAGCGAGCGCAGGCGGUUAGAUAAGUCUGAAGUUAAAGGCUGUGGCUUAACCAUAGUACGCUUUGGAGACUGUUUAACUUGAGUGCAAGAGGGGAGAGUGGAAUUCCAUGUGUAGCGGUGAAAUGCGUAGAUAUAUGGAGGAACACCGGUGGCGAAAGCGGCUCUCUGGCUUGUAACUGACGCUGAGGCUCGAAAGCGUGGGGAGCAAACAGG
RNAcentral lists this ribosomal RNA (763 nucleotides) under uncultured Streptococcus sp. Its description in RNAcentral is "bacterial SSU rRNA". It matches the Rfam family "Bacterial small subunit ribosomal RNA", at positions 28 to 776 of the family's 1533-position model. The record is from RNAcentral. Lineage: Bacteria; Bacillati; Bacillota; Bacilli; Lactobacillales; Streptococcaceae.